AAUGAACGCUGGCGGCAUGCCUAACACAUGCAAGUCGAGCGAAAACAUGGGGUGUAGUCGCGCAUGAGUUCGUAACCCGUGGGAACAUGCCUAUGUGUUUGGCAUACCUCGGAGAAUUUUGUGCUAAUACGGGAUCAGAUCUUGGAACCGAAGAUAUAUCGAAUGUCGAUGGGCCCACGUUGAAUUAGCUUGUGGGGGGGCUAGAGGGCUACCACGGCGAGGAUGCGUAACGGGUCUGAGAGGGGGGUCACCCACACUGGAAGGGAGAGACGGCCCAGACUCCUACGGGAGGCAGCAGUACGGAAUCUUACGCGAUGGGCGAGAGCUGGAUAGAGCAACACCGCGUGAGUGAUGAAGGUCCUCGGAUGGGAGAGUGCUGUAGGUAGUGAGGAAGUAAAGUGUGUUUAACCGAGAUGGUAUUGACGGUACCUAGAGAAUAAGCACCGGCUAACUCCGUG
Molecule: ribosomal RNA, 458 nt
Filed under: uncultured bacterium
Lineage: Bacteria
Description: partial 16S ribosomal RNA
Rfam family: Bacterial small subunit ribosomal RNA
Source: RNAcentral